Molecule: ribosomal RNA, 158 nt
Filed under: Beauveria bassiana
Lineage: Eukaryota; Fungi; Ascomycota; Sordariomycetes; Hypocreales; Cordycipitaceae
Description: 5.8S ribosomal RNA
Rfam family: 5.8S ribosomal RNA
About the family: 5.8S ribosomal RNA (5.8S rRNA) is a component of the large subunit of the eukaryotic ribosome. It is transcribed by RNA polymerase I as part of the 45S precursor that also contains 18S and 28S rRNA. Functionally, it is thought that 5.8S rRNA may be involved in ribosome translocation.
Source: RNAcentral
AAAACUUUCAACAACGGAUCUCUUGGCUCUGGCAUCGAUGAAGAACGCAGCGAAACGCGAUAAGUAAUGUGAAUUGCAGAAUCCAGUGAAUCAUCGAAUCUUUGAACGCACAUUGCGCCCGCCAGCAUUCUGGCGGGCAUGCCUGUUCGAGCGUCAUU